Molecule: RNA transcript, 2419 nt
Organism: Elaeis guineensis (African oil palm)
Lineage: Eukaryota; Viridiplantae; Streptophyta; Magnoliopsida; Arecales; Arecaceae
Gene name: probable protein phosphatase 2C 55
Source: RefSeq, a predicted model, not a curated record
CGUGGCCCACAUGAAACUUCUCGAGGGCUUGAAUUCGGGAGAGCCCCGAAAGCUCGUCCCUUUCUUGUUCCCGUUCUUUCCCGGCGCUCUCCCGUUUCACUGUUGAACCUAAAUCUGGAACGAAGGUGGAAAGAAAGCAAAGCCGUCUGUUCCAUUUUUCUCCUCUCUAUCACGACCUCCUCUCAUUAGCCUUCCAUUUCUCGGGCGGUGAAAAAAGCCAGAGUUAGAGAAAGGCUCUGUCGAUCUUUAUUUUCGGGCUUUCUCGAUUGGAAACGAGGAGAGCUGCUCAACCCUUUUAUCAUCGACCAGUGCGAGGAAUCUCAGGUCAGUUAGGCACAGAACGAGCCCGGAUUUGAUGCAUCGAAAGUUAUGAGAUUUCCUGCGAUACAUUGCUUGGGGGCUUGCAAUUUAAUUACUCGAGAAAUAUUGCAUCUUUGCUCGCGGCUCUAAGAUGCCAUCUUCUUAUUUUUCGAGGCAGAAAGUGCUUCAAUCCUCCGUGGACAUUCUACUUGGACGGGUCCAGAGCUUGCCAUUUAGCAAUUCUGGUUUCUUUCAAUCACAUCCAUUUGCUAGUCUAUUGAACAAUAUUUGGCUGUUUCGUAGAGCUGAUCACGCGACAACAUUACCCAUCACUGGAGCACUUCCCUGCACAAUACGUGUUCCUUCAGUUACUGGACCUUCUUGCCAGUCCGGUUUGGAUCAAGUUGAUUGCCUGGUUUCUGAGCCCAUCCAGAGGUUUCCCUUUAUCUUGCUCCAGAGGAAUAUAAUGUCCACCGGCAAUUCUUUAUGUGGUGAAGCUGAAAUGGCUGCACGGCAUUUGGACAAUUUACAUCUGAAGAGUGGGCAGAUUUUGAACACUCUGACAAGAGCUGAUGUUUGUUUUCGCAACAAGAGUCUUGAUUACUGCACAAGAGUUUCUGGGAGCUUGAAAAGCCAAGAACCAUGGGGUAACAAUAUGAUAUAUAAGUGUUUUUGGUCAAAUGCAGUUGGAAAAAGUUUGGGGCCCAAUCCUUUUAUAGAGUCCAGGAACAAGGGGAUUUUGUCAUUGUGGUCUGCAGCAUAUUCUACUAGAGCAGCUCCUGAUGUAUCUUUCGAUUGUUCUCCCAGGGAAGAGCAGCCUGAGAAUUCUUCAUGUUCCUCCCACCAGAAAAAGCUGGGUGAUAGAACCUUGAAGCUGCUUUCUGGAUCCUGUUAUUUGCCACACCCAGAUAAGGAGGAAACUGGAGGGGAAGAUGCUCAUUUUAUAUGUGAUGAGCAGGCCAUUGGUGUAGCAGAUGGUGUUGGUGGCUGGGCAGAUCUUGGAGUUGACGCUGGACAGUAUGCCAGAGAACUUAUGUCUCAUUCGGUAGCUGCAAUCCAAGAAGAGCCCAAAGGAUCAAUUAAUCCAGCAAGGGUGUUAGAGAAGGCUUACUCAAGCACUAAGGCUAAAGGAUCAUCAACAGCAUGCAUCAUUGCUCUCACAGAUCAGGGGAUACAUGCUGUCAACCUAGGGGACAGUGGCUUCAUUGUUGUAAGAGAUGGGUGCACAAUCUUCCGGUCACCUGUUCAACAACAUGAUUUCAAUUUCACAUAUCAACUUGAGAGUGGCAAUGCCAGUGAUCUUCCAAGUGCUGCCCAGGUGUUCACCUUUCCUGUCGCAGCUGGUGAUGUUAUAGUUGCAGGAACUGAUGGACUGUUUGAUAACCUGUACAAUAAUGAGAUUACAGCUGUUGUUGUUCAUGCCAUCAGAGCUGGGCUGGAGCCUCAAGUGACAGCUCAGAAGAUAGCUGCACUUGCUCGCCAGAGAGCGCAGGAUAAGAACAGGCAAACUCCUUUCUCAUCUGCAGCCCAAGAGGCUGGAUAUCGCUAUUAUGGAGGGAAGCUUGAUGACAUUACUGUUGUGGUAUCCUAUGUCGCUGCCUUUGGUGCUUGAGACAUACUACUCUUGGUUGUACAUACAAUUUUUAAAGCCAGCAAUCAGGAGUGUUGUCGAAAGUGCUCCAUGCAUUUGUCUAAGUGAUUGGGAGAGGCGAGCAAAUGUCGAGCACCUUAACCAUCCCCAAGUGACGAAGGUUUACUAAGGCGGCACCUAGGCAAGCACCUAGGGCAAAGUGAGAGGCAUCGUUGUCGAAAACUAUUCUUCUUGUACUGUUUGACCUAUUCUUUUAGAGCUUUAUAAGCUUUGUUUUGAUAUUGAUUUUGAUAGAUAAGAGCCUUGAUAAAUACGGGUUACUCUUGGAUGUUCAAUAGUUUACUUGUUUGUUGUUGUUGUCGAGAAACAUCAUCUGUGUCUAUAUUUUGUUGUCACAUGUGAACUUUGAAGCCAUUUUAAUAUGUCUGGUGGUUUAUUUUGGCUGACUUAUUGUUUAAAAGCAUGCUACCAGAGAUGGUAUUUCGAUGUGAUGUUUGAAAGUUGUGAAACAUAAUAUCUAAUGUUCAA